This is a long non-coding RNA of Cucurbita moschata (crookneck pumpkin), 661 nucleotides long. RefSeq lists it as uncharacterized. NCBI's taxonomy places the organism in Eukaryota, Viridiplantae, Streptophyta, Magnoliopsida, Cucurbitales, Cucurbitaceae. The record is from RefSeq and is a predicted model, not a curated record. The transcript has 2 exons.
AGCAAAUAUUGUCCACUUAGGCACAUUACGUAUCGUCGCCUCACAGUUAUAAAACACAUCUGAUAGGGAGAGUUUUCCACACUCUUAUAAAGAAUGUUUCAUUCCCCUCUCCAACCAAUGGGGGAUCUCACAAUCCACCCCCCUUAUGGGCCCAACGUCCACGCUAGCACACCACUCAGUGUCUAGUUCUGACACCAUUUGUAACAGCUCAAACCCACCACUAGCAAAUAUUGUCCACUUAGGCACAUUACGUAUCGUCAUCAACCUCACACUUAUAAAACGCAUCUGAUAGGAAGAGAUUUCCACACCCUUAUAAAAGAAUGUUUCGUUCCUCUCUCCAACUGACGUAGAAUCUCACACAUGAGCAUCCAACAAGACAUCGUCCCCACUUACACUUGCCUCUCCCUCAUAAUGCAUCCUCACCCCAUUUAUCAGAAGACACUGAUAGAAACUUCCCACCAAAUUCUGAAAGCAACAUCACCUAAUGCUUGCCUUACUCCAAAACAACACAUUAACAAUGCCUUUUUCUUUACACUUUCCUAUGUACAAAACGUCUAGAACUCACAAAUUUAACACCAAAUUACACGUAAAACCUUGAAACAUAACAAUCAAACAAACACAGAAACCUGAAUCAUUAUGAGCAGGAAAUGGAUUCAACCAG